CAGACAGACCAAAAACAAUAUACCCCCGAUCAUUCAAUCCUGGGGCAUAAAAAUGAGGUAAUAUGCCACAUGUUUAAAUUUGAACAAGUGCAUAAAGUGAGUUAAUCAGUCAAGUAUUGUUUCUUUUUCCCUUUAACAUGAAUAAAAGACUUUGAAGAGAUGAGUAAAUUAGUCAUGUUCUUGCGUAAGUGUGAAUGCCAUCAAAAACCCAUAUGCCUGCUGUGUUAUUGCAGGUCCGUCUGUGUCCAAUGUUGCUUGCAAAGGUUCUAAACAUGCGUUCAGGGCGAUGCUAAUCUUCUAAAAUGUUAAACCAAGGCCCUGGUGUCGUUUAGGGGGCUCCAUCUAGCAAUAACUCCAAUGGUGGAUUCAGGACACCCUUUAUGACCAAGGACCUUGGUCUUGCUCAAAACAGUGAUGGCAGUGAAGUGACCGACACCAUAUGAGUCUCUUUGUCAUCAGAUUUACCGCAUCAUGACUAAUCACGGGUUUGGUGGAAAAGACUUCUCGUCUGCUUUUAAAUUAUUGCUUGAUUAGAACAAGAAAAAGACAUGAUAAAUAACAUCAUUAUGUACUAUUAUUAUUUCCUAAAUGUAUAUACUAAAAUCAUGUAAAUACAUGAAUGAACGUUUAUUAGAAAACUAUUGUUAAUGAUUCAAGAAAUUUGUAAAAUGAUUUAAAAUUAAUUUGUUUUAUAGAUAAUACAAGAUUUUUUACACUUGAGGUAAUGAUUUUGUAAAAAACAACAACCUUUUCUUAGAUAUAACUUAAAAUAUAAUUGUUGAUAUUUACCUGGUGAAAUAUGUUUUUGUUCAGCCAGAAAUGUCUUAGAUAAAAUAAUAUUUUUAUGUAAUUUUCACACUGUAUAAAGUGUGUUUCAGCAGAUAACCAAACUGCGUGUCAUCAGUAUGAGUUUGUGUUUAUUUUGUAUGUACCAAUAUAUUUUGAAGGAGUCGAAGAGGUACUGUAAUUUUCUAUCUUGAUGACUAAAAACGUGCAUUUUAAGAAAGAGCUUUAUUUGACAGUGCCUCUUCAAGUCUACAUUUUGUUUCCAUGAUAGGUUGUGUUUUGAAAUAGCAUUUAAAAUACUUGUACCUUUUAAAAGAUGCAAAUGGGAAUGUUGUUUAUGGUAGUUGUUCUUGAAUUCAAUAUGAAUUGCUAUGAAUAGAAUAGUGAGAACUGUAUGUGCUUCUUUAGUAUGGUAUUGUUUAUAAUAAAUACCAGUUAAAUUUA
This is a long non-coding RNA of Dreissena polymorpha, 1230 nucleotides long. RefSeq lists it as uncharacterized. NCBI's taxonomy places the organism in Eukaryota, Metazoa, Mollusca, Bivalvia, Myida, Dreissenidae. The transcript has 2 exons. The record is from RefSeq and is a predicted model, not a curated record.